This 307-nucleotide ribosomal RNA is filed under the name uncultured bacterium. Its description in RNAcentral is "bacterial SSU rRNA". It matches the Rfam family "Bacterial small subunit ribosomal RNA", at positions 28 to 334 of the family's 1533-position model. The record is from RNAcentral.
GAUGAACGCUGGCGGCGUGCCUAACACAUGCAAGUCGAACGGUUAAGCCGGCUUCGGCCGGGAAUACAGUGGCGAACGGGUGAGUAACACGUGACCAACCUGCCCCCCGCUCCGGGACAACCGCUGGAAACGGCGGCUAAUACCGGGUACUCCGCGGGCCCCGCAUGGGGCCGGCGGGAAAGCCCAGGCGGCGGGGGAUGGGGUCGCGGCCCAUUAGGUAGUAGGCGGGGUAGAGGCCCACCUAGCCGACGAUGGGUAGCCGGACUGAGAGGUCGACCGGCCACAUUGGGACUGAGAUACGGCCCAG